AUUUCCCUGCCGUGCUCGUGAUGCACGAUGAAGUUCUUGAACCAUCAAAUACGUUCAAAGGGACUGUCGGUGGCUGGCGACGUCGCACCCCGGGCCACAAGGUCUGGCGGAGGACUCACCCGGUCGAAGGCGGACCCACCUGGUUCUUCCAGGUCUCAAGAACUCUCCUGCACACGGUAUUUCGGCGGGGAUUUU
This 195-nucleotide non-coding RNA is filed under the name Candidatus Eiseniibacteriota bacterium. Its description in RNAcentral is "6S RNA". It matches the Rfam family "6S / SsrS RNA". From Rfam's summary of the family: E. coli 6S RNA was the first non coding RNA to be sequenced, but its function was unknown until recently. It consists of 184 nucleotides that fold into an extended hairpin structure with a large single-stranded internal bulge. The record is from RNAcentral. Lineage: Bacteria; Candidatus Eiseniibacteriota.